CCCAGAAUAUGUGAACGUGACUGCAAAUAAAUGAUUUGGGGAAGAGGGCUGCAGUAAAUAAGGAGGCGAGACAGACCACGAAAGGAUGAUAACAACCACAGAGUUGAACACAGAAUUCAUCUAGACUCAUGAGCCUGUUUCAGUCUUGAGAUCUUCGGUAUUCUGGAUAUGGAUAUAAUGACUGGAACUUGGGCUGACAUAUGGACCCCAAGAAUGAGAGCCACACUAGGGAGGCUUGAAGCAGUGAGCUAGAAGCUUCUGAACUGAAUGGCUUCCUAAAUUAAUUGUUCCAGACCAAAACUGCUUACUCUUGACUUUGUUGCUGUCUCUUACACCCUCCCCCUGAACUUCUGGCCUACA
Long non-coding RNA from Talpa occidentalis (Iberian mole), 360 nucleotides. RefSeq lists it as uncharacterized. NCBI's taxonomy places the organism in Eukaryota, Metazoa, Chordata, Mammalia, Eulipotyphla, Talpidae. The record is from RefSeq and is a predicted model, not a curated record. The transcript has 3 exons.